AUGGGCGUCAGGAAUGGUCGGCGUGGCGGUGGGCCGAGUGGCGUCAACACUGUACAGUUGUUGCAGGAGACGAUCGGCGAGGAGCUGGUUUGGCGGGUGUUAGGGAACCUGAGGAGGGAAGUGAAGUGGAUAUACUUUUAUUGUUUUUUAUUUUAAACACCUUCCCGACCCCGUUUUCUUACUCCCCCUCCUCUUGACUAAAGUUUUAUUUUGUUUACGUUGUAGUUCGAAGGGAAGGGGGGUGGGGGGCAUAAGGGAAAAAGUCGUUUCGGUCGUUAGCAGUCAUGGGCCUGAGGAAGAAAAGCAAAAAUCCUGCCGUCUUCAGUCAUGAGUUCGUGAUCCAGAACCAUGCGGACAUCGUGUCGUGCGUCGCGAUGGUGAUUCUGCUGGGGCUGAUGUUCGAGAUCACAGCCAAGUUUGCCAUCAUGUUCAUCACCGUACAAUACAAUGUCACAUACACCAACAUAGAUUCCCAUUUGGACUGAAAAGAAGUUUCAAACUAUAACCCAGACUUGAAGGCACUGGCAGGUAAUGCGCAAUUACAGAUGUUGAACUGAGAAUUGAUGAUUUGGCAGAUGUUGAAGAACCUGAAGUACAAUUUGUAGAAGAGGAAAGGAGGUUCCCCGAUGCAGAUUUAUUGCCUUACCAGUACAUUAAUGAUCACACAAAUGUUUUAUUGCAUUGCUGUUUGUGGAAUCCUGUUGUGCACAGUUCGACUUAAGGUAGGAAAUGUUAUAAUUAAUGACUGACUACACUUAACGUGUUUUUGGUUAUAAAGCCAUGGAGCUUCCUUAGGUACUGAAUAUUAAAUUACUAUUAUAUUAAUGCAGAUUCAUUAAUUCUUGUAGCUUGGUACCAGCAUGGCCAUAAUCAGAGUAAGAACAGGCUGUGGGUUCUUAGUUUUGGAGUGCUGUUGGGACAUUGAAGAUACAUAAUUUAUUGUCAGUGCAAAGUAA
This is a long non-coding RNA of Rhincodon typus (whale shark), 956 nucleotides long. RefSeq lists it as uncharacterized. The record is from RefSeq and is a predicted model, not a curated record. NCBI's taxonomy places the organism in Eukaryota, Metazoa, Chordata, Chondrichthyes, Orectolobiformes, Rhincodontidae. The transcript is spliced from 4 exons.